GUAGUUAGCCGGGGCUUCCUCCCGAGGUACCGUCACUUUCUUCGUCCCUCAGGACAGAGGUUUACAAUCCGAGAACCUUCUUCCCUCACGCGGCGUUGCUGGGUAAGGCUUUCGCCCAUUGCCCAAUAUUCCCCACUGCUGCCUCCCGUAGGAGUCUGGGCCGUGUCUCAGUCCCAGUGUGGCCGAUCACCCUCUCAGGUCGGCUACCCAUCGCUGACUUGGUGGGCCGUUACCCCGCCAACUAUCUAAUGGGACGCGAACACCCCCUGUACCGGAUUGCUCCUUUGACCCCUGUUCGAUGCCGAACCGUGGUCUUAUGCGGUAUUAGCAGAUGUUUCCAUCUGUUAUCCCCCUGUACAGGACAGCUUGUUCACGCGUUACUCACCCGUCCGCCGCUAGAAGCUUUCCGAAGAAAACUUCUCGCUCGACUUGCAUGUGUUAAGCACGCCGCCAGCGUUCGUCCUGAGCCAUAAUCAAACUCUGA
Molecule: ribosomal RNA, 484 nt
Filed under: uncultured bacterium
Lineage: Bacteria
Description: partial 16S ribosomal RNA
Source: RNAcentral